RNAcentral lists this ribosomal RNA (254 nucleotides) under uncultured bacterium. Its description in RNAcentral is "partial 16S ribosomal RNA". It matches the Rfam family "Bacterial small subunit ribosomal RNA", at positions 524 to 776 of the family's 1533-position model. The record is from RNAcentral.
UACGGGUGGAGCAAGCGUUGUUCGGAUUUCCUGGGCGUAAAUGGCGCUUAGGCGGUCGUGACAAGUCACUUGUGAAAUCUCCGGGCUUAACUCGGAACGGUCAAGUGAUACUGUCGGACUAGAGUACAGAAGGGGCAACUGGAAUUCUCGGUGUAGCGGUGAAAUGCGUAGAUAUCGAGAGGAACACCUGCGGCGAAGGCGGGUUGCUGGGCUGAUACUGACGCUGAGGCGCGAAAGCCAGGGGAGCGAACGGG